RNAcentral lists this ribosomal RNA (1347 nucleotides) under uncultured bacterium. Its description in RNAcentral is "partial 16S ribosomal RNA". It matches the Rfam family "Bacterial small subunit ribosomal RNA", at positions 28 to 1381 of the family's 1533-position model. The record is from RNAcentral.
GACGAACUUUGGCGGCGUGCUUAACACAUGCAAGUCGAACGGAAAGGCCCUGCUUUUGUGGGGUGCUCGAGUGGCGAACGGGUGAGUAACACGUGAGUAACCUGCCCUUGACUUUGGGAUAACUUCAGGAAACUGGGGCUAAUACCGGAUAGGAGCUCCUGCUGCAUGGUGGGGGUUGGAAAGUUUCGGCGGUUGGGGAUGGACUCGCGGCUUAUCAGCUUGUUGGUGGGGUAGUGGCUUACCAAGGCUUUGACGGGUAGCCGGCCUGAGAGGGUGACCGGCCACAUUGGGACUGAGAUACGGCCCAGACUCCUACGGGAGGCAGCAGUGGGGAAUAUUGCACAAUGGGCGGAAGCCUGAUGCAGCAACGCCGCGUGCGGGAUGACGGCCUUCGGGUUGUAAACCGCUUUCGCCUGUGACGAAGCGUGAGUGACGGUAAUGGGUAAAGAAGCACCGGCUAACUACGUGCCAGCAGCCGCGGUGAUACGUAGGGUGCGAGCGUUGUCCGGAUUUAUUGGGCGUAAAGGGCUCGUAGGUGGUUGAUCGCGUCGGAAGUGUAAUCUUGGGGCUUAACCCUGAGCGUGCUUUCGAUACGGGUGACUUUGAGGAAGGUAGGGGAGAAUGGAAUUCCUGGGUGGAGCGGUGGAAUGCGCAGAUAUCAGGAGGAACACCAGUGGCGAAGGCGGUUCUCUGGGCCUUUCCUGACGCUGAGGAGCGAAAGCGUGGGGAGCGAACAGGCUUAGAUACCCUGGUAGUCCACGCUGUAAACGGUGGGUACUAGGUGUGGGGUCCAUUCCACGGGUUCCGUGCCGUAGCUAACGCUUUAAGUACCCCGCCUGGGGAGUACGGCCGCAAGGCUAAAACUCAAAGGAAUUGACGGGGCCCCGCACAAGCGGCGGAGCAUGCGGAUUAAUUCGAUGCAACGCGUAGAACCUUACCUGGGUUUGACAUGGAUCGGGAGUGCUCAGAGAUGGGUGUGCCUCUUUUGGGGUCGGUUCACAGGUGGUGCAUGGCUGUCGUCAGCUCGUGUCGUGAGAUGUUGGGUUAAGUCCCGCAACGAGCGCAACCCUUGUUCACUGUUGCCAGCACGUUAUGGUGGGGACUCAGUGGAGACCGCCGGGGUCAACUCGGAGGAAGGUGGGGAUGACGUCAAGUCAUCAUGCCCCUUAUGUCCAGGGCUUCACGCAUGCUACAAUGGCUGGUACAGAGAGUGGCGAGCCUGUGAGGGUGAGCGAAUCUCGGAAAGCCGGUCUCAGUUCGGAUUGGGGUCUGCAACUCGACCUCAUGAAGUCGGAGUCGCUAGUAAUCGCAGAUCAGCAACGCUGCGGUGAAUACGUUCCCGGGGCU